UCCCUGGUAAUCUAGUGGUUAAGACACCAUACUUUCAAUGCUGAGGUCACUGGUUCAAUCCCAGUUUGGGGAA
Bos taurus (domestic cattle) is the source of this 73-nucleotide non-coding RNA. NCBI's taxonomy places the organism in Eukaryota, Metazoa, Chordata, Mammalia, Artiodactyla, Bovidae. The record is from Rfam.